This is a long non-coding RNA of Girardinichthys multiradiatus, 582 nucleotides long. RefSeq lists it as uncharacterized. NCBI's taxonomy places the organism in Eukaryota, Metazoa, Chordata, Actinopteri, Cyprinodontiformes, Goodeidae. The transcript is spliced from 3 exons. The record is from RefSeq and is a predicted model, not a curated record.
ACAAACAGUGCCAGAUUAUCGAAAGCCUUGUGUUAGUAAAUGUCCAACAGUCCCCGACCAACUGACCCACCCACCCCUGGACCCAUCUGCCUGAAUCUUCCUCCCCGUUCAUGACCUUGCUUCUGUGCCACGACCGACGAUUCAAGCCUCUCCCUCGGAUCCUGUCACCUGACUGUUUCCCUGGCUCUGACCCAGCUUCUGUUCCUUGAUUACCGCACAUUGGGAGUACAAACCUGAGAGUCUGUUUGACGUUGUUCUGCUGUCACCGGAUCAUCACACUGAGGAGCCGAAAUUCAGUUUACUUAUUCCUCAACCAAUUCUGAAAAGGAAGUAAGAUGACGCCAUCCUACCAUCCUACUCCUUCAACCAAAGACUGUUUGGCAAUGGCAGAGAGGAUUUGGGAUGUAACUUUGAAUUUGUGGGGUUGGCAGUGCAGCAGACCUGAUUAAAGACUGACGGACGGACGGACGGACGGAUGGAUGGAUGAAUGGGCUGGUGGAUCGAUGGGUGGAUCAAUGCAUGGAUUGAUGGAGUCUAACUUUAGUCAGAGAUAUUCUACAAAUAAUAAAAGCAACACAUGUG